AGAGCUGCUAGAGGUAUAAUCUGUUUGAGGUAGAAGGAGGAAAAAGAAAAACCAAAGCACAAAAACCUUAGGUUUAUAUUUUGUUAUUGUUAGAGUUAACAGUAAAAGUCAAAGCUUAGGGAGUGAGUAAGUUUUGACUCUGUAGAGCAUCUGCUGGCUAAUCAAAGCAGAUAUUCUAGACUUUACUUUCCAACUGUUCUUUAGAUUGAAUGUUUACAGUCAAUAAAAAGAUAAUAUAUUUUUCUUGCUCUGAGAAGGAUUUUGGUAUUUAACUGGCUGCUUUUUGCAUCCUAAAUGGAGUAAAUUAACUCACUUUCAGUACACAUCGAGAAUUUAUUAUUAACUGUUAGGCUUGAACAAGUUGAUUUUUUUUUCUUAGAUUUUACUUCUGUAGCAGGUAGGAGCUGAAAUGAGAUUCUUCUCACACUGCAUCAAUUUCCACAUCUUAUCUCAAGCGCUUUUUAUUUCUUGAGAAUAUGUAGGCAUGUAUAUAGAAGCUUUAAAAAAAAAAAGUGUGUGAGAAGAUCACAUUUUUGAUAAUCUGUUUGAUUCUUCAGCUGUUGUUUUCAGGAAAAAAAAUGAGAAAACGCAAUUAGUAACAACAGUAGUUUAUGCUUUGAAGUGAGCGCUCCCAGUAUGGGAAGAGAUGGGAGUGGAGGCAGUAUUCCACCUGAAUUGUACAAGUGUGGAGGAGCUUUUCAUUCUUGAAGUGCCAAGAAACGUGUGGAGCCCUUGUCUCUGCUAUAGGAAGGCUAAGCACUGAAGAUGAGGAUGUGUUUCUGCAGCUAAUUGCCCAUGUGAUACCAAGGUCCUGCUCUGCUGUGGGCUGCAAGGCGCUGCAGGCACUGGAGACUCCAAACCUUAGGCUUUGAUGCAUCAGUCAGUGCGAAGAGCAAGCUGGCCUUGUUAAGGUGCCUUCGCUUUGAUACCAUAAACAACAGAGACUCGGGGGCUGCUGGCCACCAAGGCAGGCACUGAUUAUUUAGUUCUGGUUUAUGUUUUCUGUAUGUGAAGCAGUAUAAUUGAAAUCAUUAUUUUUUUUUAGUCUGACUGUUGUGACAUCUGUGAAUAUAAAGGCAUUUUUUUAAUCUCUCGAGUAAAAUAUUGUUAAUUGCUGGCUCAGACAGAUUAAGUGAGUAGAAAGGAUAAUGUGCAGGGAACUAUACUCAGAAAUAACAGAUAAGACCCUGAUUGGUAUACAAAUGUAUAGUAAACUUAAUUGUAUGGGGUAUUGCGUCUAGCAUAAUUUUUUCAUCAUAAUGGAAUGAAACCACGCUUCUUUAGAAAUCAGAUAAAGAAAAAUUGAACAGCUCAUUUUAGAAACUUCUGCAUAAUACUCUCAGACCCCUUAAUUGUUCUCAUAAAUGCAGAGAGUUAUAUUUGGACUACCUAGCCCAGAUAAAAUAAGACCUCACACAACCCUCUUAUGUGCCGAAAGUGGCACUCAGACAUCACAGUCUGUGA
This is a long non-coding RNA of Lagopus muta (rock ptarmigan), 1464 nucleotides long. RefSeq lists it as uncharacterized. Lineage: Eukaryota; Metazoa; Chordata; Aves; Galliformes; Phasianidae. The transcript is spliced from 3 exons. The record is from RefSeq and is a predicted model, not a curated record.